GUGACACAGUAACAGAGGGAUUGAGGGCCUGCUCAGUGAGUUUACAUGUUAGAGGGAGUGGGGUAUAGUGACACAGUAACAGAGGGAUUGAGGGCCUGCUCAGUGAGGUUACAUGUUAGAGGGAGUGGGGUAUAGUGACACAGUAACAGAGGGAUUGAGGGCCUGCUCAGUGAGUUUACAUGUUAGAGGGAGUGGGGUAUAGUAACACAGUAACAGAGGGAUUGAGGGCCCUGCUCAGUGAGUUUACAUGUUAGAGGGAGUGGGGUAUAGUGACACAGUAACAGAGGGAUUGAGG
This is a non-coding RNA of Pelobates cultripes (western spadefoot toad), 295 nucleotides long. NCBI's taxonomy places the organism in Eukaryota, Metazoa, Chordata, Amphibia, Anura, Pelobatidae. The record is from the annotation of a GenBank genome assembly.